UCUAUCACGUGCAAUUCCUUC
Molecule: non-coding RNA, 21 nt
Filed under: Arabidopsis thaliana (thale cress)
Lineage: Eukaryota; Viridiplantae; Streptophyta; Magnoliopsida; Brassicales; Brassicaceae
Source: RNAcentral